Molecule: non-coding RNA, 109 nt
Filed under: Clostridium kluyveri
Lineage: Bacteria; Bacillati; Bacillota; Clostridia; Eubacteriales; Clostridiaceae
Also listed under: 1 other name
Description: TPP sequence
Rfam family: TPP riboswitch aptamer (THI element)
About the family: Vitamin B(1) in its active form thiamin pyrophosphate (TPP) is an essential coenzyme that is synthesised by coupling of pyrimidine and thiazole moieties in bacteria. The previously detected thiamin-regulatory element, thi box was extended, resulting in a new, highly conserved RNA secondary structure, the THI element, which is widely distributed in eubacteria and also occurs in some archaea. Analysis of operon structures identified a large number of new candidate thiamin-regulated genes, mostly transporters, in various prokaryotic organisms.
Source: RNAcentral
AAUAUCUUUAAGGGGAGUCUGUAUUAACAGUCUGAGAAUGGGAUGUUAUCCCUUACCCUCAUAACCUGAUUUGGGUAAUGCCAACGUAGGGAAAUACGGUUUGUUAUCA